UACGGGGGGGGCAAGCGUUGUUCGGAAUUACUGGGCGUAAAGGGCUCGUAGGUGGCCAACUAAGUCAGACGUGAAAUCCCUCGGCUUAACCGGGGAACUGCGUCUGAUGCUGGAUGGCUUGAGUUUGGGAGAGGGAUGCGGAAUUCCAGGUGUAGCGGUGAAAUGCGUAGAUAUCUGGAGGAACACCGGUGGCGAAGGCGGCAUCCUGGACCAACACUGACACUGAGGAGCGAAAGCCAGGGGAGCAAACGGG
Molecule: ribosomal RNA, 253 nt
Filed under: uncultured bacterium
Lineage: Bacteria
Description: partial 16S ribosomal RNA
Rfam family: Bacterial small subunit ribosomal RNA
Source: RNAcentral